AGAGCGCAGACAUAUUAUGUUCUGCCUCGUUUCCACCAAGCCCGCUAUGCGAGCAAUACACUGAAGAAGCAUCUUUGCAGCAAAUGCUGCACAAUAUUAUACCAAUGCAACAACAGUUGCAACAACAAAUGUUGCAAAUGCAACAGCAGCAGCAGCAUCAACAACGGCAGCAGCAGACCUAACAACAGCAGUCACAGUACCAGCCCCAACAACAGCAACAGCAGCCCCAACAACACCAGAAAAUGCAAAUAAAUGCGACUAGAAGACACAAAAGAAGAGCUGGUCAAAAUAGGGUCCGCUGGUAUCAACAGCGGGGUGGCCGAGGCGAUGCCAGCGAGAUAAUAUUCCCGAGCGGGAGAGGCCCGUAUAGAAGAGGAGGCCCGCGCGAAAGAAGAGGCCGAGGAGUCUGUCGUG
Pseudomyrmex gracilis is the source of this 414-nucleotide long non-coding RNA. RefSeq lists it as uncharacterized. The record is from RefSeq and is a predicted model, not a curated record. Lineage: Eukaryota; Metazoa; Arthropoda; Insecta; Hymenoptera; Formicidae. The transcript is spliced from 3 exons.